This 485-nucleotide ribosomal RNA is filed under the name uncultured bacterium. RNAcentral describes it as "partial 16S ribosomal RNA". It matches the Rfam family "Bacterial small subunit ribosomal RNA", at positions 29 to 523 of the family's 1533-position model. The record is from RNAcentral.
AGUGAACGCUGGCGGCGUGCUUAACACAUGCAAGUCGAACGAGAACGGGAUAUAGCUUGCUAUAUUUGUCAGCUAAGUGGCGCACGGGUGAGUAAUGUAUAGAUAACCUGCCCUCUAAAAAGGAAUAACAGUUGGAAACGACUGCUAAUGCCCUAUAUGCCUUUAAUACAUAAGUAUGCAAGGGAAACGCUUUAGUGCUAGAGGAUGGGUCUGUAUGGUAUCAGCUUGUUUGUGAGGUAAUGGCUCACCAAGGCUAUGACGCCUAACUGGUUUGAGAGGAUGAUCAGUCACACUGGAACUGAGACACGGUCCAGACUCCUACGGGAGGCAGCAGUGGGGAAUAUUGCACAAUGGACGAAAGUCUGAUGCAGCAACGCCGCGUGGAGGAUGACACAUUUCGGUGCGUAAACUCCUUUUAUAUAGGAAGAUAAUGACGGUACUAUAUGAAUAAGCACCGGCUAACUCCGUGCCAGCAGCCGCGGUAA